Molecule: long non-coding RNA, 422 nt
Filed under: Lathyrus oleraceus (garden pea)
Lineage: Eukaryota; Viridiplantae; Streptophyta; Magnoliopsida; Fabales; Fabaceae
Description: Pisum sativum (pea) long non-coding RNA (PSAT_LNC012645)
Source: RNAcentral
AAUCUUGUCUUUUGCUUAUGUCUAAGUAGGGAGCAUUAUUGCAUAAAUUUGGUCUUGAAAUCUAAAGUUGGGGAGAGUAAAUUAGAAGAAUUGAUAAAAAACUUGAAAAAGUGAUGUUUUAGAAAAGGUGAAAGUGUGAAAAGAAACAAGAAAAAUAAGUCACCUUUGAAAUUAUGGAGCAAAGAAAAAGAAAAGAAAGAAAAAAAACAAAAAGAGAUCUCAUGGUUGUGUGGAUGUUGAAAAAUAAGAAAAGAAAAAAAAAUGGGGAUCAAAAACGGAAUUUGUUGUUGAGUUUGAAUUUAUGGGAAUGCUCCCUUGGGAUAGGUAUUUUUGUUUUUAAUUCUCUUAAUCAUAUUCGAAAGACCUCUUGAUUCUCAAUUUUUCACAUGAUUUAGUGUUUGCUUUGAUAACCGCAUGAUUCG